GCUGCCCCUCUGUCCCGAGCUGCCCCUCAGUCCAGUGGGGUCAUUUAGAAGGGUCGCCGUGGUUAGGAGGCCACGGAAGCGGACAAUGUGGCGGACUAAGACCUAUGGUGAAGUGGGGGCCACGUCCAGCACCAGAGCCGCCACCGCGGACAGAUGCCCACCCAGACCCUCCCCAAUAGGUUCAGGUUUUGCGGCCAUGAAUUAUAACCACGCUGCAUUUUGGUCCGCCUCUCCUUCCCAGGAAGAACCCUGUUACAGGUCUGUUGUAUUCGGCGCAUGUGACAAAAUUUGAUACUGUUGGAGACCUGCCUCAGGUGGAGUCACUCUGUCUGUGGUUGACAACUAUCACGGUGAUCAAGGAAUCACAGAUGAAACUGACCUGCAGAACCAUCUCCCCUUUGAGUGACAACCCCCACCUACAUCUGGUACAAGAACAAACAAUAUCUACAAAUAAACUCUUCCACUUGAAAGAGGGCUUCCAAAUCCACUUCUGUCACAAGGGACAUAGCAGAGGAUAGACAGAGGGAGGAUCUGAUGUGGUGAAAUUCAAUCGCCCUGGUGUUUCCCCCCCAAUCUACAGCACAGUCAACAAACCCAGAACCCGAACACAGUAAGGUCUCAGACUCCAGGAUGAGAAAAUGUGUCAUGCCCUGAUCUGUUUCACCUGUCCUUGUGAUUGUCUCCACCCCCUCCAGGUGUCGCUUAUUUUCCCCAAUGUAUUUAUCCCUGUGUUUCCUGUCUCUCUGUACCAGUUCGUCUUGUAUGUUUCCAAGUCAACCAGCGUUUUUCCCGUUUCCUGCUUUUUGCAUUCUCCUUUUUCUAGUCCUCCUGGUUUUGACCCUUUCCUGUUUCUGGACUUUGUACCCGCCUGCCUGACCAAUCUGCCUGCCUUGACCACGUGCCUGUCUGCCACUCUUUACCUCCUGGACUCUGAUCUGGUUUUGACCUUUUUGCCUGUCUACGACCAUUCUCUUGCCUACCCCUUUGGAUUAAUAAACAUUGUAAGACUCCAACCAUCUGCCUCCCGUGUCUGCAUUUGAGUCUCACCUUG
This is a long non-coding RNA of Oncorhynchus tshawytscha (Chinook salmon), 1051 nucleotides long. The record is from Ensembl. NCBI's taxonomy places the organism in Eukaryota, Metazoa, Chordata, Actinopteri, Salmoniformes, Salmonidae.